AUUGAACGCUGGCGGCAGGCCUAACACAUGCAAGUCGAGCGGAUGAAGGGAGCUUGCUCCUGGAUUCAGCGGCGGACGGGUGAGUAAUGCCUAGGAAUCUGCCUGGUAGUGGGGGAUAACGUCCGGAAACGGGCGCUAAUACCGCAUACGUCCUGAGGGAGAAAGUGGGGGAUCUUCGGACCUCACGCUAUCAGAUGAGCCUAGGUCGGAUUAGCUAGUUGGUGGGGUAAAGGCCUACCAAGGCGACGAUCCGUAACUGGUCUGAGAGGAUGAUCAGUCACACUGGAACUGAGACACGGUCCAGACUCCUACGGGAGGCAGCAGUGGGGAAUAUUGGACAAUGGGCGAAAGCCUGAUACAGCCAGGCCGCGUGUGAGAAGAAGGUCUUCGGAGUGUAAAGCACUUUAAGUUGGGAGGAAGGGCAGUAAGUUAAUACCUUGCUGUUGUGACGUUACCAACAGAAUAAGCACCGGCUAACUUCGUG
This 484-nucleotide ribosomal RNA is filed under the name uncultured bacterium. RNAcentral describes it as "partial 16S ribosomal RNA". It matches the Rfam family "Bacterial small subunit ribosomal RNA", at positions 30 to 507 of the family's 1533-position model. The record is from RNAcentral.